Molecule: non-coding RNA, 492 nt
Organism: Labrus bergylta (ballan wrasse)
Lineage: Eukaryota; Metazoa; Chordata; Actinopteri; Labriformes; Labridae
Source: RefSeq, a predicted model, not a curated record
GGAGAGGAGGGGCAGGGAGUGAAGAGGAAGAGGGAGGGCGAGCAGAAGGAGGAAGAGGCGGGACAAGGCUCAGAGAAGAAAAAGAUGGACGAGGAGUCGAUGGCGUCCAUGUUGGCUGAUUUCGUCGCCUGUCCUCCUGACGAUGAGGACGGAGCGUCUGGAUCAAACCGCUCAUAGACUUGAACUGAUGUUGUCGAGGUUACCAUGGAGACUGUAUCAUUAGAGACGUUGCCUCCUCGCCACAUCCUCCAUCAUGGUUGAACGCUCUCAGUGUUCACGUCACUUCUGUUGAGACGUGAGGCGUCUUUGUGAGUGACGUUCCAUCGACCAGGUUAAUAAAGGUAAAAGUAGAGUGAGGUUUAAUAAAAAAGAAGACUCCUCCCACAGUCCAGCUGACUCAGUUUGUGUAAAGUCUUAUUUGUACCUUUCAUUAUUUUUGUUUCAUCACUGAUUUCAAAAGUAAAAUCAUCCAACACGAGUGAAAACAUGAAA